This 460-nucleotide ribosomal RNA is filed under the name uncultured bacterium. RNAcentral's name for it is "partial 16S ribosomal RNA". It matches the Rfam family "Bacterial small subunit ribosomal RNA", at positions 338 to 795 of the family's 1533-position model. The record is from RNAcentral.
CCUACGGGCGGCAGCAGUGAGGAAUAUUGGUCAAUGGACGAGAGUCUGAACCAGCCAAGUAGCGUGAAGGAUGACUGCCCUAUGGGUUGUAAACUUCUUUUAUAUGGGAAUAAAACGUUCCACGUGUGGGAUUUUGUAUGUACCAUAUGAAUAAGGAUCGGCUAACUCCGUGCCAGCAGCCGCGGUAAUACGGAGGAUCCGAGCGUUAUCCGGAUUUAUUGGGUUUAAAGGGAGCGUAGGUGGAUUGUUAAGUCAGUUGUGAAAGUUUGCGGCUCAACCGUAAAAUUGCAGUUGAAACUGGCAGUCUUGAGUACAGUAGAGGUAGGCGGAAUUCGUGGUGUAGCGGUGAAAUGCUUAGAUAUCACGAAGAACUCCGAUUGCGAAGGCAGUUCACUGGACUGCAACUGACACUGAGGCUCGAAAGUGUGGGUAUCAAACAGGAUUAGAUACCCGUGUAGUC